Molecule: ribosomal RNA, 253 nt
Filed under: uncultured bacterium
Lineage: Bacteria
Description: partial 16S ribosomal RNA
Rfam family: Bacterial small subunit ribosomal RNA
Source: RNAcentral
UACGUAGGUGGCAAGCGUUAUCCGGAUUUAUUGGGCGUAAAGGGAACGCAGGCGGUCUUUUAAGUCUGAUGUGAAAGCCUUCGGCUUAACCGGAGUAGUGCAUUGGAAACUGGGAGACUUGAGUGCAGAAGAGGAGAGUGGAACUCCAUGUGUAGCGGUGAAAUGCGUAGAUAUAUGGAAGAACACCAGUGGCGAAAGCGGCCCUCUGGUCUGUAACUGACGCUGAGGUUCGAAAGCAUGGGUAGCAAACAGG